Molecule: long non-coding RNA, 580 nt
Organism: Lycium barbarum (goji berry)
Lineage: Eukaryota; Viridiplantae; Streptophyta; Magnoliopsida; Solanales; Solanaceae
Exons: 2
Source: RefSeq, a predicted model, not a curated record
UAAAGGCAACAAAAUGUGAACCUAGAAGAUUCAACUCCAAAAAAUCCCCAAAUCCAGCUCCCUCUCCAAGAAGUUGAUCGAUUCUUCAAGUCCAUCUUAUCCAUCGCCUCUAUCCUGAAUCCAAUAUCCCAGAGCUGCAUCAACAAGUUUGAAGUUGCGAUGAGGAAGAAGUGAGCUUCCAUGGUGAUUUUGAGCACAACCUAUAAAUUUCUGAUCUGCCAUCCUCCCAUAGAGUAGACAGGGAGGUAACCCAGAUUCAUAGUAGCUGAUCAGCGGACUUACAGGAGCACUCCAUUAUUCCGGAGGUGCUCGAACAUUGCAAGGGCAUGCAAUUUCUUUAGCUAUCUGUUCUCCAUGCUUCUCUCUUUAUCAAGGACCCUAGUAUUUCUUUCCCACCGAAUUGCUGCUAUAAACUCUGCGCAAACCAGUCGAAACAUUUUCGCCUGCAUAGUCUUUCCUUUAGUAACUUCUAGAAUAAUUUUGUAUUGUAGCAGCCAAGAAUGCACUGUUGGCCAUUGAACUUGCAACCACUAUAUGAGUCUUUGCCAUACUGAAUAGGCAAAAAUACACUCAAAGAAAA